AGGUCAGCGGGAGACUUGGUGGUCAAGAAGGCUCAGCGGACAGCUUCAAGAGCACGGCCAUUUUGCCCAUCCUGACUUUCAGUUUGGCCUAACAGGAGCCCCCUGGGGACAUAACUUAUGAAACCAUCCCAAGACUCCUCCCUUUCAUGAAGAAGUAUGACAAGAUCUCUGAGCUAAAGGAAAAGAACUGAGGUAGGCAAUGCAAAAUAAAGGCACUUCUGGUGAUUAGU
This 230-nucleotide long non-coding RNA is filed under the name Mustela putorius furo (domestic ferret). RNAcentral's name for it is "lncRNA (ENSMPUG00000028024.1)". Lineage: Eukaryota; Metazoa; Chordata; Mammalia; Carnivora; Mustelidae. The record is from RNAcentral.